This 397-nucleotide ribosomal RNA is filed under the name uncultured bacterium. Its description in RNAcentral is "partial 16S ribosomal RNA". It matches the Rfam family "Bacterial small subunit ribosomal RNA", at positions 523 to 918 of the family's 1533-position model. The record is from RNAcentral.
AUACGUAGGGGGCGAGCGUUGUCCGGAAUGAUUGGGCGUAAAGGGCGCGUAGGCGGCGCGGUAAGUCUGGAGUGAAAGUCCUGCUUUCAAGGUGGGAAUUGCUUUGGAUACUGCCGCGCUUGAGUGCAGGAGAGGUUAUCGGAAUUCCCGGUGUAGCGGUGAAAUGCGUAGAGAUCGGGAGGAACACCAGUGGCGAAGGCGGGUAACUGGACUGCAACUGACGCUGAGGCGCGAAAGUGUGGGGGGCAAACAGGAUUAGAUACCCUGGUAGUCCACACUGUAAACGAUGAAUGCUAGGUGUAAGAGGUAUCGACCCCUUUUGUGCCGGAGUCAACACAAUAAGCAUUCCGCCUGGGGAGUACGGCCGCAAGGUUGAAACUCAAAUGAAUUGACGGGG